This 448-nucleotide ribosomal RNA is filed under the name uncultured bacterium. RNAcentral's name for it is "bacterial SSU rRNA". It matches the Rfam family "Bacterial small subunit ribosomal RNA", at positions 64 to 507 of the family's 1533-position model. The record is from RNAcentral.
GAGCGGUAACAGGUGUAGCAAUACAUGCUGACGAGCGGCGAACGGGUGAGUAAUGCUUCGGAAUCUGCCCAAUGGUGGGGAAUAACCAGCCGAAAGGUUGGCUAAUACCGCAUGAGCCCUACGGGGGAAAGCAGGGGAUCGCAAGACCUUGCGCCGAUGGAUGAGCCGAAGCCGGAUUAGCUAGUUGGUAGGGUAACGGCCUACCAAGGCGACGAUCCGUAGCUGGUCUGAGAGGACGACCAGCCACACUGGGACUGAGACACGGCCCAGACUCCUACGGGAGGCAGCAGUGGGGAAUAUUGGACAAUGGGGGAAACCCUGAUCCAGCGACGCCGCGUGUGAAGAAGGCCUGCGGGUUGUAAAGCACUUUUAGUGGGGAUGAAAAGCUCAGGGCUAACACCUCUGGGUCUUGACCUAACCCACAGAANAAGCACCGGCUAACUCUGUG